RNAcentral lists this ribosomal RNA (253 nucleotides) under uncultured prokaryote. RNAcentral's name for it is "partial 16S ribosomal RNA". It matches the Rfam family "Bacterial small subunit ribosomal RNA", at positions 525 to 777 of the family's 1533-position model. The record is from RNAcentral.
ACGAAGGGGGCUAGCGUUGUUCGGACUUACUGGGCGUAAAGCGCGUGUAGGCGGGUCGUUAAGUUGGAUGUGAAAGCCCCGGGCUCAACCUGGGAACUGCAUCCAAAACUACUGAGCUAGAGUACGGUAGAGGGUAGUGGAAUUUCCUGUGUAGCGGUGAAAUGCGUAGAUAUAGGAAGGAACACCAGUGGCGAAGGCGACUACCUGGACUGAUACUGACACUGAGGUGCGAAAGCGUGGGGAGCAAACAGGA